RNAcentral lists this ribosomal RNA (511 nucleotides) under uncultured bacterium. Its description in RNAcentral is "bacterial SSU rRNA". It matches the Rfam family "Bacterial small subunit ribosomal RNA", at positions 34 to 518 of the family's 1533-position model. The record is from RNAcentral.
CGCUGGCGGCGUGCCUAAUACAUGCAAGUCGAACGGUCUUUCUAUGGAAGCUUGCUUCCACUGAGAAGAUAGUGGCGAACGGGUGAGUAACACGUGGGUAACCUGCCCAUAAGAGGGGGAUAACAUCCGGAAACGGGUGCUAAUACCGCAUAGUUUUCUUGAUCGCAUGAUUGAGAAAGGAAAGACGGCCUCUGUGCUGUCGCUUAUGGAUGGACCCGCGGCGUAUUAGUUAGUUGGUGAGGUAACGGCUCACCAAGACGAUGAUACGUAGCCGACCUGAGAGGGUGAUCGGCCACAUUGGGACUGAGACACGGCCCAAACUCCUACGGGAGGCAGCAGUAGGGAAUCUUCCGCAAUGGACGAAAGUCUGACGGAGCAACGCCGCGUGAGUGAAGAAAGGUUUUCGGAUCGUAAAACUCUGUUGUCAGAGAAGAACAAGUUGGAGAGUAACUGCUCCAGCCUUGACGGUAUCUGACCAGAAAGCCACGGCUAACUACGUGCCAGCCGCUGC